RNAcentral lists this ribosomal RNA (440 nucleotides) under uncultured bacterium. Its description in RNAcentral is "partial 16S ribosomal RNA". It matches the Rfam family "Bacterial small subunit ribosomal RNA", at positions 338 to 795 of the family's 1533-position model. The record is from RNAcentral.
CCUACGGGAGGCAGCAGUGGGGAAUAUUGCACAAUGGGGGAAACCCUGAUGCAGCGACGCCGCGUGAGUGAAGAAGUAUUUCGGUAUGUAAAGCUCUAUCAGCAGGGAAGAAAAUGACGGUACCUGAUUAAGAAGCCCCGGCUAACUACGUGCCAGCAGCCGCGGUAAUUCGUAGGGGGCCAGCGGUAUCCGGAUUUACUGGGGGUAAAGGGAGCGUAGACGGUGCAGCAAGUCUGAUGGGAAAGGUGGGGGCCCAACCCCGGGACUGCCUUGGAAACUGUUGAACUGGAGUACAGGAGAGGUAAGCGGAAUUCCUAGUGUAGCGGUGAAAUGCGUAGAUAUUAGGAGGAACACCAGUGGCGAAGGCGGCUUACUGGACUGUAACUGACGUUGAGGCUCGAAAGCGUGGGGAGCAAACAGGAUUAGAUACCCCAGUAGUC